AACAUAGACAAUUUUACUUCACAUCUUAACCAAGCACAAAUCAAAAUCUUCCAUCUUUACAAGCAGGUGCCUUGCAUAAAAACUUGAACAACAAAGAAGAAUCUUGCUUGAGAGGAACCAUGAUCUUUUUUUGGAGGGAAGUGAUGCUAUUUACACUUUAAAAAUACUAAUAACAUGCUGAUCCCAGAUAUCACGAACCACAUCCGUGCCUCCUUGCAAGCCCACCACAGCGCCCGAUAUUAUCCACUCGGGAAGCUCUUGGGGUCUCCCGAUGGUUUCCGUGAAGCGCUCAAUGAGUUCAAGCGUGAUCUCAUCUUUGAAGUGAUGUAAAAAGGUGAAGGAGCAUAAGUUGUGAUCUCAUCACCUCCUGCCCUGCACUUGAACAACAGACAAGUUUAUGAAUUAUGAUCAUAAUCAUCAUUCAAAAAUUCAAUCUUUU
Molecule: long non-coding RNA, 439 nt
Organism: Salvia splendens (bonfire salvia)
Lineage: Eukaryota; Viridiplantae; Streptophyta; Magnoliopsida; Lamiales; Lamiaceae
Exons: 4
Source: RefSeq, a predicted model, not a curated record